Molecule: ribosomal RNA, 539 nt
Filed under: uncultured bacterium
Lineage: Bacteria
Description: bacterial SSU rRNA
Rfam family: Bacterial small subunit ribosomal RNA
Source: RNAcentral
AAUAGAUACCCCGGUAGUCCACGCCGUAAACGAUGAAUACUAGGUGUAGGAGGUAUCGACUCCUUCUGUGCCGCAGCUAACGCAAUAAGUAUUCCGCCUGGGAAGUACGAUCGCAAGAUUAAAACUCAAAGGAAUUGACGGGGGCCCGCACAAGCAGCGGAGCAUGUGGUUUAAUUCGAAGCAACGCGAAGAACCUUACCUAGACUUGACAUCCCCUGAAUUACCUGUAAUGAGGGAAGCCCUUCGGGGCAGGGAGACAGGUGGUGCAUGGUUGUCGUCAGCUCGUGUCGUGAGAUGUUAGGUUAAGUCCUGCAACGAGCGCAACCCUUAUCAUUAGUUGCUACCAUUAAGUUGAGUACUCUAGUGAGACUGCCCGGGUUAACCGGGAGGAAGGUGGGGAUGACGUCAAAUCAUCAUGCCCCUUAUGUCCAGGGCUACACACGUGCUACAAUGGUGAGUACGGAAAGAUGCAAGACCGUGAGGUGGAGCAAAACUUUUAAAACUCAUCUCAGUUCGGAUUGUAGGCUGAAGCUCGCCUA